CAUUUCAAAAUUUCUAUGUUAAUUAAGAAUCUCCAAACAAUUUAUUUUCCUGUUUCUAUAAUUAGCACGAAGAAUUGCAUAAAUUGUCUUACAGAAGAACCAUCUCUGAACUCUCUCUCUCUCUCUUGCUCUCUCUCCUCACUGGCAGCCCUCUUGUGUGUUUGAAGUUCCAAUUGUUAGAGCUCAACAAGUUCAAAGGUCCUCUUUUGGAGAAACAUUUUCAUGGCCAGCAAUGAUGCAAAAGGGAAAGGGCCAUUUCAGGAAGGCCGAGUAAAUCGUACACCUCAAGCAAGUAUGACUGAUGCUCCAAAGAGAAGUUAUCAGCUUUGCAGAAGUGAUCCCCUUACUGAUUCUGUUUUUAGGGGGACAAGUAACGUUGAACCAAGUCCUUCUUCUACAUCUGAUUUUUGGGAAUCACAUCAUACUUUAAUGCUAGUAGCCAUAGUCUUGGUUAUCUACUUAGUACUAGGAACCGUAUGCUUCUACCUCCUUGAGCCCCAGAUGAUGGGACACAAAACAAAUGGACUUGUUGAUGCACUCUACUUCUGCAUUGUAACAAUGGCCACUGUUGGAUAUGGAGAUAUUGUGCCCAAUACUGUCCUUAGCAAGAUAUUCGUCUGUUUUUUUGCCUUCACGGGAAUGGCCUUGGUUGUGCUAGGCCUGUCCAAAGCAGCAGACUCUUUCGUGAAGAAGCAGGGAGACAUGCUAGUAAAUGCUUUACAUACGGAUCAAAAUGCCAGAGCAGCUGAUACUAACAAGUAUGAAAAGCAUUAUAAACGAGUGAAAUGCAAGUGUUUAUUGGUCUUUAUCUUUGUUUUGAUGCUCAUGAUUGCUGGGACAACCGUCCUAGCUACCGUGGAGAAAUUGGACCUUAUUGAUGCAUUUUAUUGUGUUUGUGUAACCAUCACAACAUUGGGAUAUGGAGAUAAGAGCUUCAAAACUAAAGGAGGGCGUAUUUUUGCAGUGUUUUGGAUAUUGGCAAGUACUAUUUCUCUGGCUCAGUUUUUAGCCUACAUUACUGAGCUAUUUGCUCAAAAAGCACAAAGUAAAUUGGUCAAGCGGGUUCUUUGCCGGAAAUUGACACAUCGAGAUCUGGAGGAAGCAGAUCUUGAUAAAAAUAAAUCUUUAGAUAUUGCUGAGUUCAUCCUACUUAAGCUCAAACAGAUGGAGAAGAUUAGUGAAGAUGAUAUUGCACCUAUAAGGGAGGAGUUUGGAAAUUAUGAUGUUGAUAAGUCAAACUCCUUAACUACAUCUGAUAUUCUGCAAUCAACUCAAGCAGGGAAGUGACUUUACCCAUGUGAAAGUGGCUACCUUCUUCUGCACUUGUGAAUUAGAUAAAAAUUGUGAAGCAUCCCAAAGAUAGCUACUUAAAAGUGUGUAAGAUCAAUCAUCAAUGUCAUCAUGUUUUUAAUAUACGGCUGUAGCAAGUUCCUCAACAUGUAAUUAUAUAUAGAUUUGAUAAACUAGGUCCUUUCAGAACAUGUGGAUAUAUAUCUCUUCCUUUGGAAAGAAUAUGGUUGUAAAGUAUUUUAUGUAAAAAGGAUUAAAUAAAGACAAUGUUAUCAA
This is an RNA transcript of Quercus robur (English oak), 1566 nucleotides long. It is a transcript of the gene named two-pore potassium channel 1-like, with no coding region annotated. NCBI's taxonomy places the organism in Eukaryota, Viridiplantae, Streptophyta, Magnoliopsida, Fagales, Fagaceae. The record is from RefSeq and is a predicted model, not a curated record. The transcript is spliced from 4 exons.